Long non-coding RNA from Zingiber officinale, 938 nucleotides. RefSeq lists it as uncharacterized. The transcript is spliced from 3 exons. The record is from RefSeq and is a predicted model, not a curated record. NCBI's taxonomy places the organism in Eukaryota, Viridiplantae, Streptophyta, Magnoliopsida, Zingiberales, Zingiberaceae.
ACCUCCCGAUCCCUUCCACCUCCUCUCCUCUAUGCGGCGCCGAACUGAUCGCCUUCCUCAACCGACGGCGCCGCACCUCGUCGUUUCCUCUUCUCCCCCCGUUUACAAAACCCUCAGCCAAGGAGUCUAGUUCCUUCUUCUCGCCACUGUCCGAACCCCUCCUCUCCCUCACGCAUCGCCUUUGCUCUUCCCCGUGCCCUAGCUAUCUCCACUGGCUACUGCUGCCGAUCGCUUCGACCAAUCACCAGGAUGUCAUCACUACUACGAGUGAGGCUAGAACAGCACCGUCAACACAAUCCACCCGACGCUGCUCCUACCCCAAAUCCCGAUUCUUUGCUCUGCCUUGUCGCCGAUCUUGACACGACGCCCUUCCCUACCGAUCAGCUCUUGUGCACGACAUCAACCACUAUACGACAGUCGCGACGAUCGCCUCUUCCAUUUGUUUAGACAGCAAACUGUCUCCUCUUUCUCUCACGCCACUGCGAUCCACCACCAGCAUGCCUAGGGAAAGGGGGUAUCUACUCCGAUCACCGUCGGAAAUUUGAGACGCUGCCAGUAAACUGAUCUGCCAGACACAUCCUCUUUUCCUCAUGCGAGCACCACACGCACAUCACCGCUGGUUGCUUGCUGCCAUUGCCGAUCUAGGGUUUACGACGACCAAAUUUGAGAGCUGGGCAGGUGGUUUCCAGCAGCUACUCAAUUUCGACGACUGCCCUACCUGGCUGAGGAUCAACAGGAGUGGCUUCGAGUUGAGGACUUGGUGGAACACAUGAGAACUUGGUGCGGCCAAGUAUGGAAAACUCAUCCAAGGGCUCGGAUCCUUGAGUCUCUGAAGGAUGGUGUGGAAGACAUCUAUGGGACCGCUGGACAAGGAGCAAUGGAGUGGAGCCGAAGGAAGUGGACUUUAAGGCAGCGUGAAGGAUGACACGGAGAGGAGU